GAUGAACGCUGGCGGCGUGCCUAAUACAUGCAAGUCGAGCGAACGGACGAGAAGCUUGCUUCUCUGAUGUUAGCGGCGGACGGGUGAGUAACACGUGGAUAACCUACCUAUAAGACUGGGAUAACUUCGGGAAACCGGAGCUAAUACCGGAUAAUAUUUUGAACCGCAUGGUUCAAAAGUGAAAGACGGUCUUGCUGUCACUUAUAGAUGGAUCCGCGCUGCAUUAGCUAGUUGGUAAGGUAACGGCUUACCAAGGCAACGAUGCAUAGCCGACCUGAGAGGGUGAUCGGCCACACUGGAACUGAGACACGGUCCAGACUCCUACGGGAGGCAGCAGUAGGGAAUCUUCCGCAAUGGGCGAAAGCCUGACGGAGCAACGCCGCGUGAGUGAUGAAGGUCUUCGGAUCGUAAAACUCUGUUAUUAGGGAAGAACAUAUGUGUAAGUAACUGUGCACAUCUUGACGGUACCUAAUCAGAAAGCCACGGCUAACUACGUGCCAGCAGCCGCGGUAAUACGUAGGUGGCAAGCGUUAUCCGGAAUUAUUGGGCGUAAAGCGCGCGUAGGCGGUUUUUUAAGUCUGAUGUGAAAGCCCACGGCUCAACCGUGGAGGGUCAUUGGAAACUGGAAAACUUGAGUGCAGAAGAGGAAAGUGGAAUUCCAUGUGUAGCGGUGAAAUGCGCAGAGAUAUGGAGGAACACCAGUGGCGAAGGCGACUUUCUGGUCUGUAACUGACGCUGAUGUGCGAAAGCGUGGGGAUCAAACAGGAUUAGAUACCCUGGUAGUCCACGCCGUAAACGAUGAGUGCUAAGUGUUAGGGGGUUUCCGCCCCUUAGUGCUGCAGCUAACGCAUUAAGCACUCCGCCUGGGGAGUACGACCGCAAGGUUGAAACUCAAAGGAAUUGACGGGGACCCGCACAAGCGGUGGAGCAUGUGGUUUAAUUCGAAGCAACGCGAAGAACCUUACCAAAUCUUGACAUCCUUUGACAACUCUAGAGAUAGAGCCUUCCCCUUCGGGGGACAAAGUGACAGGUGGUGCAUGGUUGUCGUCAGCUCGUGUCGUGAGAUGUUGGGUUAAGUCCCGCAACGAGCGCAACCCUCAAGCUUAGUUGCCAUCAUUAAGUUGGGCACUCUAAGUUGACUGCCGGUGACAAACCGGAGGAAGGUGGGGAUGACGUCAAAUCAUCAUGCCCCUUAUGAUUUGGGCUACACACGUGCUACAAUGGACAAUACAAAGGGCAGCGAAACCGCGAGGUCAAGCAAAUCCCAUAAAGUUGUUCUCAGUUCGGAUUGUAGUCUGCAACUCGACUACAUGAAGCUGGAAUCGCUAGUAAUCGUAGAUCAGCAUGCUACGGUGAAUACGUUCCCGGGUCU
Molecule: ribosomal RNA, 1372 nt
Filed under: uncultured bacterium
Lineage: Bacteria
Description: bacterial SSU rRNA
Rfam family: Bacterial small subunit ribosomal RNA
Source: RNAcentral